UCUCUCCUUUUGGUGUUUUCUACUGAGAGCCUUGGAUGUGGGUGCUGUAUUCAUGCACAGCUGCUUUUGAGGGCUGUGUCCAUCUAAGAAAUAUUUCUUAGUGGUGACUGUAGCAGGGAAAUGGCUGUGGGCUGCCUCACACAGUCCCUGCCCUGCCCUGCAUGCCCUGGAGCUCACAGCCAAGCCCCUUUGGCAGCGAUGAUACUGAGCUGCAGAUGUGAUUCUAGAUGCAGCAAUGGGACCAUGUGGGAUGAGGGACUCUUGGUGCCAGCUGGGUUGGAAAGAGAGGCUCUUGCCACAAAUGCUGCAGAAAGAUUUUGGGGUCACUGUGUCAGCUGUACCUGUCAACACACCUCUGUGAAAGUGAUACCAGUACAUUCACAGCUUCAGAGGCAGCCUCAUAAAGUGCUGUGCUCAGCUCAACAAGUUAUAGGUGUUACUGCACGGACUUCUAAUGAGGUGUCUUAUGGAAAUCAGAUACUGAGUUGGACCCACUAUCAGAGCAGUCCAUCGAGGACAGAAAGUGCUGCCCUCCAACUUCAAAUAAACAGCAUCUGCACAACUGCUCAUAUUCACAGAUGAGUCCAUUUUAAACUCAUUCCAAGAAAGCCGAAUUUGAUAGUUUAAGACCUAAUUUAACAUUGUUCCUGAUCAUCUAGCAAUGGAUGUUAAAAGAAGACUGAAAAUGCAUGAUAAUAUUGGCAAGCGAAUGCUGAAAUCUCAUAGACUUUGCAAGACUAGAGAGGGAUCAGAGUAAUAAUUCUUCAGAAGGAUGGCAGGAGAAUUUACAGUCUAUUUUCGUGUCUUGAUAAGAAAGUAAAUAGAUAAUUUACAAAAUGAAGUGUACAGAAAAGAAGAUCCAGACUGCUGUCACACCAUAAUCAAGGUUUAACCUUUAAUAUCACAAUGUAAAAGUUUACCUUGGCAGUAAAGUCAUCAUCAUUAGGUUACACAGUGCAAAGCAACUUGUACAUCUUCAACAUAAGACAUGAGAAAAGAAUGUGUAGAGUCACUGCCAGGUUUCUGAGCAGUAAAUGCCAUGCGGUGCUGCCAGAAGGGCUCCACCAACAUCACAUGUGUUGUAGGCAUACACACUGAGGGCUGGAUAACUGAGAAAGAAUCAGAAAAUUGGGAUAAUUGCUAGCUUUCAUGAGGCACUAUAUUUC
Molecule: long non-coding RNA, 1166 nt
Organism: Tympanuchus pallidicinctus (lesser prairie-chicken)
Lineage: Eukaryota; Metazoa; Chordata; Aves; Galliformes; Phasianidae
Exons: 3
Source: RefSeq, a predicted model, not a curated record